RNAcentral lists this ribosomal RNA (378 nucleotides) under uncultured bacterium. RNAcentral's name for it is "bacterial SSU rRNA". It matches the Rfam family "Bacterial small subunit ribosomal RNA", at positions 527 to 908 of the family's 1533-position model. The record is from RNAcentral.
GGAGGAUCCGAGCGUUAUCCGGAUUUAUUGGGUUUAAAGGGAGCGUAGAUGGAUGUUUAAGUCAGUUGUGAAAGUUUGCGGCUCAACCGUAAAAUUGCAGUUGAUACUGGCAGUCUUGAGUGCAGUAGAGGUGGGCGGAAUUCGUGGUGUAGCGGUGAAAUGCUUAGAUAUCACGAGGAACUCCGAUUGCGAAGGCAGCUCACUGGAGUGUAACUGACGCUGAUGCUCGAAAGUGUGGGUAUCAAACAGGAUUAGAUACCCUGUAGUCCACACGGUAAACGAUGAAUACUCGCUGUUUGCGAUAUACGGCAAGCGGCCAAGCGAAAGCGUUAAGUAUUCCACCUGGGGAGUACGCCGGCAACGGUGAAACUCAAAGGA